AACGUAGGAGACAAGCGUUAUCCGGAGUUACUGGGCGUAAAGGGCGUGCAGGCGGUUUACUAAGUUCGUCGUGAAAGCGCCCGGCUUAACCGGGCAGGGUCGAUGGAGACUGGUGAACUGGGGGCGGUAGAGGCGUGUGGAAUUCCGGGUGUAGUGGUGAAAUGCGUAGAUAUCCGGAGGAACACCAGUGGCGAAAGCGACACGCUGGGCCGUACCUGACGCUAAGACGCGACAGCAUGGGGAGCGAACGGG
RNAcentral lists this ribosomal RNA (252 nucleotides) under uncultured bacterium. RNAcentral's name for it is "partial 16S ribosomal RNA". It matches the Rfam family "Bacterial small subunit ribosomal RNA", at positions 524 to 776 of the family's 1533-position model. The record is from RNAcentral.